CCUACGGGUGGCAGCAGUGAGGAAUAUUGCUCAAUGGAGGAGAGUCUGAACCAGCCAAGCAGCGUGAAGGAUGACUUCCCUAUGGGUUGUAAACUUCUUUUAUAUGGGAAUAAAACAGGGUAUGCAUACCCUCUUGUAUGUACCAUAUGAAUAAGGAUCGGCUAACUCCGUGCCAGCAGCCGCGGUAAUACGGAGGAUCCGAGCGUUAUCCGGAUUUAUUGGGUGUAAAGGGAGCGUAGGUGGAUUGUUAAGUCAGUUGUGAAAGUUUGCGGCUGAACCGUGAAAUUGCAGUUGAAACUGGCAGUCUGGAGUGCUGGAGAGGUGGGCGGAAUUCGUGGUGUAGCGGUGAAAUGCGUAGAUAUCACGAAGAACACCGAUGGCGAAGGCAGCUCACUGGACUGCAACUGACACUGAGGCUCGAAAGUGUGGGGAUCAAACAGGAUUAGAUACCCGAGUAGUC
RNAcentral lists this ribosomal RNA (460 nucleotides) under uncultured bacterium. RNAcentral's name for it is "partial 16S ribosomal RNA". It matches the Rfam family "Bacterial small subunit ribosomal RNA", at positions 338 to 795 of the family's 1533-position model. The record is from RNAcentral.